GGCCGGCCCACGCAGAAAAUACGUCAUACGUUCGUUUGGCGCGAAUGGGGAGCUGGAAAGGGCGGGGCUGGAGAAGUACCGUUGGGAGUGUGGGGUGGAGACUAGAGAGGCACAGUACAGGUGGUGUCAAACCAGAGAGAGCCUCCAGAGGACAAUCUUUAGAAGAUGGAAACUUUGGGCUAAUAUGAAGAUCUGAUCCUGUCACUCUUACUCAUAUGAGGAGUCAACAUGAAGUCAAGAUAAAAGUGAGUAAGAAUAAUUGAAAAGAAUUAUUGCUCUAACAUCAACAAAUACUGUGACUAUAAU
This 306-nucleotide long non-coding RNA is filed under the name Terrapene triunguis (Three-toed box turtle). Its description in RNAcentral is "Terrapene carolina triunguis (Three-toed box turtle) lncRNA (ENSTMTG00000002094.1)". Lineage: Eukaryota; Metazoa; Chordata; Testudines; Emydidae. The record is from RNAcentral.